CGAACUCAGAAAUCCGCCUGCCUCAGCCUCCCACGCCCGGCAAUGGUGGAUAUUCUUGCUUCGGGUCAUCUGCUUAAGAAAACCUCUCACAGGUGCACGCAGAAGCUUGGAGUUUGGAUGACUCUGGGUGUGGUCAAGUUGACAAUGAAAAUUAGCUAUCACCUCCACACCCAGGUUCUUGUAAAAGACCUUAUCUCAAAAAUAAGGUGGGCAACUCCUGAGAAAUGACCCCCAAGGCUGAGCUCCCGCUUCCCCAUGCACAUGCGCACACACCCAGACCCAUUCAUGUAAAUAAAUAAAUAAUCUCGAGGACCUGCUAGCCUGGGGUAUGUACCAAAGUGACAAACAAAAGAAGCCUGCCUCAGACAAGGUGAAAGAAAGGUGAAGCUAGUCAUGCUAGUGGGUACUCUGAUUUCCAGACACACAUUGUAUUCACACAUCUGCACGCGCGCACACACACACACACACACACACACACACACACACGUAACAUUCCCAAAGCCCAAAAGACUUCACUGAAGGAAGUCACAUUCAUCAUAACAUUUUGGCUCAACUUCCUGGGACACGGGCACUCACACUGACUGCCCUCAGAUCACAGCCUGACUUCACGAAGCCCAGAUAUGCAGUUAGUCAUUACCGUUCAGAACCACACAAAGAAUAAAGAACAGAGUGGAUCUCACAUGACCGGCUGCAAACAGGAAGUGACUGUCAAUGGUUUCUAUUAAAGGUAGAAUGGUGGUAGGAUGGAGCAGUAGAGAACGUGGCUUGAUGCUAAACCUGGAGACCAGUGGACCAGGGUAAGAGAGAACUGACUCUCGAAAGUUGUCAUCUGACCUCCUCAUACAUGCUGUGACAAGUGCAUAUUCACACACACACACACACACACACACACACACACACACACACACACACACACCGUACCUCGAUAGUGACUAAAAACAGUCCUGUGUUAACCUUGAUGCCAUUUCAUUUUAAGGGAUGCCCAUUAAAGUGUUGGACUUUGAGUCACAGUUUCUCCCCCUGGCAGCCUGAUCCCUGGGAGUACAGCUUCUAGAGGCAGCAAGCACCCUUCCUUGACCUACAGAGGCAGCCCAUGGCUCCAUGCUCCCUUCCAGGUCUUCAGGGCUUCUGUCUGGGACAUGGCCAGAUGCCAUGCCAGACACAUGAGAUGCAGAAAUGCCUUCACAGACCAGUCCUGAGAUUUGUGUCCAAGAUGAUUCUAGAUCCUGUCAAGUUGACAAUCAAAAUGAACCAUCACAUUGGGGUAUCAGAGACCCCAAGCAUGCAACGAGCAAGCUCAGAUCUGAGGGCCAACGCCUAGCGGGGGAGAGUAUUAUGGACAGCGAGCAUAGCAUCGGCAGAUGCCCUAGGACAGAACAAGUGUGGAAUGUGUGCCUUCCAGAAAAAUGACCACAGGACUGAAGAAGAAAUAGCAACUCACACCCACCCCCCAAUCUACAUCCCCAUCCCCACCCAUGCUGAAACAGCUGGGUGGGCCAGCCAGCGCCUUGUGAAGGGCCUGGGCCUUUGCCUAAGGACAAGAGAGAGCCAGUCCAUCGUUUUAAAGUGAAUGAGGUACCUAAACAAAACCUAUGUGCUGAAAUGAAUCGGCUUGAGUGUAAAGAAGAAAACAGAGGAGAGAGCAGGGAGGAGCCAUCAGCCUCUGUGAAAAUUCAGAUGGGGAAGACAGAGCUGGAAAUGCAAAGGUGGGGUGUGAGGGGGGAGAGAACGGAAGAUUCCAGAAACUUCCACAGAUUCCAGGUCUUGGUUCACCCCUGGACAAUGACACUCCUGGAAACAGAGCCUCUGAUUCCUUUUUUUUGUACCUUAUUGCAAAAUUAAGUAAGGUGACUUCAGCCGCUGACUGGUUUCACCAGAUUUGGGCAGGAGCUUGUAGAACUGUGGUCAAAACGCAGGCCCGGUUUCCCUAGCUGCCUGCUGUGCAGCCCUGUCUCCAGGGGAGGAGGGACAGGAGCCAUCAGGAAGCUUGCCUCUGUUUUCCUACCCUUCUUUUAUUUCUCCAUCUACAUAUAAAGCAAUGUGCCUGUGUGA
Molecule: long non-coding RNA, 2052 nt
Organism: Mus musculus (house mouse)
Lineage: Eukaryota; Metazoa; Chordata; Mammalia; Rodentia; Muridae
Product: predicted gene, 41915
Exons: 2
Source: RefSeq, a predicted model, not a curated record